CCUUGUACCCAGGGUGCUACUGACACUGAAAAGGCCCCGAUGAGAGAUGAUUGGCUGGUGGCCUCUCCAAGGCUCUGCUUUUUCAACCUCCGACAUCUCUCUCCCCCUCUUCUUCGUUAGUCUCCGUUCACAGGAGUCACUACUUUGUCUCCUUUUUAGUCACUCGCAUUGCAUCUCUCUGUUAUUCUCUCACAGCUACUCUCACGACUUUGUGUCACCGAUGACUAUGUAAUCUACGUUGGAGAAAAAUUCAAGGAAGUUGUGAGAUAUAAGAAGAAAUAGAGACAACUUGGAUUUGGGUGCUAUCAAAUUUCAUGGAAGACUUCCUCUUUGCAAUCCUUGACAGGAAAUCAUUCUCUACAGCUUCAAAUCCUUCUACGUCACUGGACCUAGACUCUGGAAGAAUCUAAAGCCCCUCUGUUCCGCCACUUGCCGCAAUACUUGAUCAAUAUCCUUCUGUUACGCAUCUCGAUCUCAUGCUCUGCCAUUGGGUCACCAACAAUUCCCUCAUCGUCAUAUCUUCGGUUGAAAAUUCCAAGAUCAUGGAAUAACAUGAUGAAUCAAGAGAAGUACCUCAUGGGUCAUGGCAUACAUUGUUGACGAGAGAUACUACAAAUCUCAACCAAUCAAAUACAAUUUGAGUGAUAAUUUUGAACCAAGGUGACAAGAGAUGCUUGCAAUUGUCAUGUUGUUCUUUUGUCUGAUUAUUGAUUAGGUGAAUAACUUAGACUAACAUUCUUUUAAUUCCUUUCUAUUAGACAUACAUUAACAUGUUGUACUUAACUAUUCGGCGUGUUGUACUUAACUAUUUUUCGCCGAAUAGUUUAACCAUUUUUUUUUUUUAUAUUUGGGGAAUGAUCACUGCUGGAUUAUUGGAGAAAAUGAAUACCUAGGAGGAGGUGAAAUUUCAGAGUUAUGGUGUUGGGGCUGGCUUUUAGUGCAAAGGAUGUAAACGAUUUUCUUCAUCAAAUGGCUGCAACAGGUGUUGCUCUUUACAUGGA
Molecule: long non-coding RNA, 1001 nt
Organism: Macadamia integrifolia
Lineage: Eukaryota; Viridiplantae; Streptophyta; Magnoliopsida; Proteales; Proteaceae
Exons: 2
Source: RefSeq, a predicted model, not a curated record